This 282-nucleotide long non-coding RNA is filed under the name Coturnix japonica (Japanese quail). RNAcentral's name for it is "lncRNA (ENSCJPG00005018417.1)". Lineage: Eukaryota; Metazoa; Chordata; Aves; Galliformes; Phasianidae. The record is from RNAcentral.
UAUCUCUCUCGUUAAAACAUACUGCUACAAGGACACAUAAUGUACCUGUCUGUUUGUGUAGGGACAUUUCAUGCACGGUGUCCCAGGAUGCCCAAGGAAGUACCCCAAAGCACAAGAGAGCUAUACGGUAGAAAAAGCCGUCUAAGGAGUGAAAAGGAACCAUCUGGGCCUACCUUGAAGAGAUUACAGAUCUGGAGCUGCAGAAGGAACCAGAGACCCCAGAGCCUGCCAGGAGCAGGUGAGACUUCUGCUGUUUCAGGAGUCACUGACAAGAAACAUUGA